GGCAAGAAUCGUACAUAUCUAGCCUGCCCACUGAAAUUUUUAAAUGGCCGCAGUAUAUUAACUGUGCAAAGGUAGCAUAAUCAUUAGUCUUUUAAUUGAAGGCUGGAAUGAAUGGUUGGACGUAAUAUUAACUGUUUCAAUUUAAUUUAAGUUAGAAUUUUAUUUUUUAGUAAAAAAGCUAAAAUUUUAUUAAAAGACGAGAAGACCCUAUAAAUCUUUAUAAUUUAUUUAUUUUAAUUAUAAAGAAUAUUUUUGUUAUAAUAAAUUAAAUUAUUUUAUUGGGGUGAUAUUAAAAUUUAAUAAACUUUUAAUUUAUUAAAUCAUUAAUUUAUGAAUUAUUGAUCCAAUUUUAUUGAUUAAAAAUUUAAGUUACUUUAGGGAUAACAGCGUAAUUUUUUUGGAGAGUUCAUAUCGAUAAAAAAGAUUGCGACCUCGAUGUUGGAUUAAGAGAUAAGUUUGGGAGCAGCCAUUCAAACAUUAAGUCUGUUCGACUUUUAAAUUCUUACGUGAUCUGAGUUCAGACCGGA
RNAcentral lists this ribosomal RNA (527 nucleotides) under Peplomyza intermedia. Its description in RNAcentral is "partial 16S ribosomal RNA". It matches the Rfam family "Bacterial large subunit ribosomal RNA", at positions 1888 to 2620 of the family's 2925-position model. The record is from RNAcentral. Lineage: Eukaryota; Metazoa; Arthropoda; Insecta; Diptera; Lauxaniidae.